UAUAGCGUAUAUUAAAGUUGUUGCAGUUAAAAAGCUCGUAGUCGGAUUUCGGGCUCGGGCAGGCUGUCGGCCUCGGUCGGACGGCAGGCUCGGGCCUUUCUGCCUGGGGACUCCGUCACACUUAACUGUGGGGCGGUUGGACGCAGGCCGUUUACUUUGAAAAAAUUAGAGUGUUCAAAGCAGGCCUACGCUUGAAUACAUUAGCAUGGAAUAAUGGAAUAGGACUUUGGUGCUAUUUUGUUGGUUUAUGGGACCGAAGUAAUGAUUAACAGGGACAGUUGGGGCCGUUUAUAUUUCGUUGUCAGAGGUGAAAUUCUUGGAUUUACGAAAGAUAAACUUCUGCGAAAGCAUUCGGCAAGGAUGUUUUCAUUGAUCAAGAACGAAAGUUAGGGGAUCGAAGACGAUCAGAUACCGUCGUAGUCUUAACCAUAAACUAUGCCGACUAGGGAUCAGUGGAUGUCAAUUUGCGACUCCAUUGGCACCUUGUGAGAAAUCAAAGUUUUUGGGUUCCGGGGGGAGUAUGGUCGCAAGGCUGAAACUUAAAGGAAU
Molecule: ribosomal RNA, 549 nt
Filed under: uncultured Cryptophyta
Lineage: Eukaryota; Cryptophyceae
Description: SSU rRNA
Rfam family: Eukaryotic small subunit ribosomal RNA
Source: RNAcentral